Molecule: long non-coding RNA, 2074 nt
Organism: Sorex araneus (European shrew)
Lineage: Eukaryota; Metazoa; Chordata; Mammalia; Eulipotyphla; Soricidae
Exons: 5
Source: RefSeq, a predicted model, not a curated record
CUUAUAAAUAUUUCAUGGAAAAUAUCUGCUGAGAUAACUCCAGACUGUUGAUGUCGAGAUCACUGCACCUGCACAUUUUAAUUGGUCCGAGAGAGCCGGCCCAUAAUUGGAGCCUGGAACUCGGCACAAACCUGACUUGGUUGUCAAAGGGAACACUGAGAAUUGAGCGCUUUAACUCCGCCAUGGCCGGGGGAUGGGAAAGGGUGGGGUGGGGGGAGAGGGAGCCGUGGGCAGGGGCCAAGCCCCUGGGCUAGAUCAGGUUGAUUUAGAAACUGGGCUCGUGGAAAGGAGGGAGGAUCUCCUGGGCUGAGCACCUGGGAUUCAGACCUGUGGUUGUUUCCAUCAUCCUGCUCGCAUGGCCAGCGCUGCAGCCAGCGUUGGGGUGAAAAUGACUCUGGUGGUGUGGUUUCUGCGAUCCCCAGAAAAUAUCUGGGGGUCUCUGAGGCCGGCAAAGCCCCAGGUGCGGCUACAGUCGCCCUGGCAUGUGACUGGCAGUGACUCUUGAGCAAGUGCCGAGUGUCGGGCGCUGCUCCUUCCAGUGUGAAAGCCACUGCCAACCACUGUGUGUCUGCAGAGGGGCUCCCGGCCAGCGUUAGACUCUGUGCUUGUGCCACACAAGCCUUCCUCGGACCACACAGCCCUGCGGCCCCUCCGGCCCUCGCCCAUGUCAUCUGGAAGGUGCAACUGCAGGGAUGGUCGCCAGGCUGACGGGCCCCCUGCUCUGCCCACCCCAGCCUCAGGCCUGAUGAGCAGCUUCAGAGCCCACAGCGACACCCCCCCCCCACACACACACACCGCCGGCACAGACUCCCGCAACCCCUGGCAGGCUGCACCCCCACCCGACUCUGGGGCCCCUUUCCUUUCCCAGGAGACCCUCUUCCUCCCGUGUUGUGAGACCGGGAGGUUGCCAUGCCCAUUGGUGCCAAAGUGAGCUGAGAGGUGGUACCCGAUGGGAGUUGGGGGUCUCGGAAAGGCUGACUUGGCGGGCAGGGGGCGGGGUGGGGCUUCCCUCCACUGGCUGGGUAAUGGGAGGAGGGAACAAAGGGAGGCUGGUGGCUCUUAUGCCUAUUGGAAACCCUUCUUUGGGGGAUCCCCAUGGCCCUCUGGGAGGAGGAGAGAGGGAGCACGCCCGGGACCCUGAGACAUCAGGCUCUGGACUUAGCUGUCAGGACACAUCCGCACAGUGUCCCGCAGCCCCGUUUCACAAACUGGAAUCUGAGGCUCAGAGUGGCCGCGUAAGGUCACAAGGCAGGACACAGUGGGCCCAGAGUUUAGACAGGUUUCCCCAAAUGGUGGCCCCAUGACCAUCGUGGACAUCCCGCUCCAGAUGGGGCCCACAGCAAGAAGAUGCAUCUCGGCUCAGGGCCUCGUCCUGGCCUCCCUGGCGUCUUCCUCCCUCAGGCACCCCAAGACUGGACAGAGCAUGCAGUGAGGCCCCGAAAGUUCAAGAAAAACACAUCCAGGUUUGGACAUGAACACGGCUAUCAUGGUGGGAUCGGUUAUGGGAGAGACCCUCACCCAGUGUGGCGGGUGUCCUUCUCAGAACAGAAGGGACGAAGAGACAGAGCCGUGGAAACCCAGAGGCCAGCGGAGAGAGGUGGAUGGAACGGCCACAGCCCAGAAGGACCAGCCACGGUGCCUUCUCCCCUGGGUCUCCAGAAUCACAACUCACUCCAUAGUCAGGCCUCUGGCAGUGGGAGAAGCUGAACUCAGUGUUUAAACCUGCCCCCUCCACCCACCUGGAGGACAUCCCCCCAGCACGGCAUCUGGAAGGGUGGGGGUGGUCCCUGAACCCCAAGUCAUAGGCAGUUGGGUGAACCACCCCAAGAGGGCCACACCCAGCAGGGCACUGUGUCCCCCAAUUGCCCAGGAUUCGUGCCCGUGAUCUCUAGGCUGGACCACACCAGAGACUGGGGUUCCUGCCCCCCCCCCCCCGGCUUUCCUUCCUGCCUCGUCUGUGAGCUCCACCGAACGCUCCCAGCCUCUGUCCUGCGCUCUGGCGGGUGGCCGGUGGAGGGCCGGAAUCUCAGCCUCCUCCCACAUCAAAGAACAAUAAACACUUUUGCUUUCUUGA